AGCAGCCGCCACGGUAAUACAGAGGGUGCGAGCGUUAAUCGGAUUUACUGGGCGUAAAGCGUGCGUAGGCGGCUAAUUGAGUCGGAUGUGAAAUCCCCGAGCUUAACUUGGGAAUUGCAUUCGAUACUGGUUAGCUAGAGUGUGGGAGAGGAUGGUAGAAUUCCAGGUGUAGCGGUGAAAUGCGUAGAGAUCUGGAGGAAUACCGAUGGCGAAGGCAGCCAUCUGGCCUAACACUGACGCUGAGGUACGAAAGCAUGGGGAGCAAACAGGAUUAGAUACCCGUGUAGUCCCUGUCUCUUAUAC
RNAcentral lists this ribosomal RNA (303 nucleotides) under uncultured bacterium. Its description in RNAcentral is "partial 16S ribosomal RNA". It matches the Rfam family "Bacterial small subunit ribosomal RNA", at positions 507 to 807 of the family's 1533-position model. The record is from RNAcentral.